CCACCAGAAAGUUGUCACAAAGAGGGUAUUGCCAUGCCUGGAACUAGAAUGGCAUCCCAUUCAAAACAUCCCAACAGAAACCCCCAAUCCUUCUACCCCCUAAAAAUGUCAACAAACGACAGUCAUUAAUUAGAUUAACUCAGUGUUUGGCAGCACAUCAGGUUUGAAAUGUUGCUUUGGUUUAGUAGUUCUUCUAUUCUUUGCAGUAUGCCUUAAAUUUUGACAAGUUUUGGUAAAAUGCAGAGGACUUAGAGUCUCCAUUUCAGAAACUUCAUAUCAUGCAUUCCUAUCUAUGGCAACUGUUAUUUUCCUCAUAGUUUUGGAUAUCAUUUUUAAAUUUCAAUUUUGUAAACCAUGUGAAAUGACAAUCUUGUUUUGCCUUGUGUUGUUACAGAUGUCCAUUAUACAAAUCAUGAUUGACAACUAUCAUCAAAUAUUUGGAAAUGACAAUAUAUUUUAUAAAUGUAUUGACAGAAGAUCUGAGGAUUUAAAGACUUGUGCAGAUUCAAUAAACUCUUCUGGCAAAUCACCUAUUAUGAAAGAAUUCCUAGCUGGCCACAAGAAAACAUGCAAUAAUGGUGAAAAAUUAAAAAUUUCAUUCAUUCCUCUGCAGGAGGAAGGUCCUACAGGACAGAACAGAACAACUACCACAUAUAAGUGAUAGAAGAUGACUGAAGACAUUAUAAGGUCAUUCUAUUUUAAUGUUCCCUUCUACCUUCCACUUAAUCAUAGCAGAACAAUUAUUACAACAUCCUGCUUCAGCAUUCAUAUGCUAUCAUAAUAAAUGUUAUAAUAAAUAAAA
RNAcentral lists this long non-coding RNA (802 nucleotides) under Rattus norvegicus (Norway rat). RNAcentral describes it as "long non-coding RNA NONRATT029135". Lineage: Eukaryota; Metazoa; Chordata; Mammalia; Rodentia; Muridae. The record is from RNAcentral.